GCGCCACUAGCUCAGCUGGUAGAGCAUCCGACUCUUAAUCGGCAGGUCCCUGGUUCGAUCCCUGGGUGGCGCACCA
This 76-nucleotide transfer RNA is filed under the name Desulfitobacterium hafniense. RNAcentral's name for it is "tRNA-Lys". It matches the Rfam family "tRNA". Rfam says of the family: Transfer RNA (tRNA) molecules are approximately 80 nucleotides in length. RNAcentral also lists the same sequence under 10 other names. The record is from RNAcentral. Lineage: Bacteria; Bacillati; Bacillota; Clostridia; Eubacteriales; Desulfitobacteriaceae.